AUAAAGGUAGACUAAUUUUAAGUCAAUAAACUCAUAAUUUAUAAAUAAAUAAUUUUUCUUUAUA
RNAcentral lists this transfer RNA (64 nucleotides) under Trichopria drosophilae. Its description in RNAcentral is "tRNA-Met". The record is from RNAcentral. Lineage: Eukaryota; Metazoa; Arthropoda; Insecta; Hymenoptera; Diapriidae.